GGGUUGGGCAGAGUGAAGGCAGGUCUACUUGAGUUUGAUCCUUGUGACCAAGAAAAAUUAAGGUGAUUCCUCCAUCCUAGAUUGUACGUUGGUGCAUAGGGGUCAUUUGUGGGUCUUUGAUAGGCUGUGCUUACCGGUGCUACUUCAUUCUCGAUUGGACCCAUUAAGAGAGGAUGCCCUUCCAUUGUAUGGUCUGUGGCAUUACAUCCAUUGUAAG
RNAcentral lists this long non-coding RNA (217 nucleotides) under Elaeis guineensis (African oil palm). RNAcentral describes it as "long non-coding RNA (EGUI_LNC042828)". Lineage: Eukaryota; Viridiplantae; Streptophyta; Magnoliopsida; Arecales; Arecaceae. The record is from RNAcentral.